GGCGGGUUCGUUCAUUGGUUAGGAUAGUAGGCUUUCAACCUGCUGAAACGGGUUCGAUUCCCGUACCCGCUGCCA
This 75-nucleotide transfer RNA is filed under the name Thermoanaerobacterium sp. RBIITD. RNAcentral's name for it is "tRNA_Glu_TTC". It matches the Rfam family "tRNA". From Rfam's summary of the family: Transfer RNA (tRNA) molecules are approximately 80 nucleotides in length. Their secondary structure includes four short double-helical elements and three loops (D, anti-codon, and T loops). Lineage: Bacteria; Bacillati; Bacillota; Clostridia; Thermoanaerobacterales; Thermoanaerobacteraceae. The record is from RNAcentral.